UGGGGCGUCGCCAAGCGGUAAGGCAGCGGUUUUUGGUACCGCCAUUCGGAGGUUCGAAUCCUUCUACCCCAG
RNAcentral lists this transfer RNA (72 nucleotides) under Calditrichota bacterium. RNAcentral describes it as "Calditrichaeota bacterium (activated sludge metagenome) tRNA-Gln". It matches the Rfam family "tRNA". From Rfam's summary of the family: Transfer RNA (tRNA) molecules are approximately 80 nucleotides in length. Their secondary structure includes four short double-helical elements and three loops (D, anti-codon, and T loops). The record is from RNAcentral. Lineage: Bacteria; Pseudomonadati; Calditrichota.